Molecule: long non-coding RNA, 756 nt
Organism: Triticum aestivum (bread wheat)
Lineage: Eukaryota; Viridiplantae; Streptophyta; Magnoliopsida; Poales; Poaceae
Exons: 3
Source: RefSeq, a predicted model, not a curated record
CAACUGAUAACACACACAUCGCAUAUUCAGGUAAUGCAGCUCAACUUUUUGCUGCUUAAAACCUCAUCCUUUUUUAUGCUUUUUGUCAGCCUCAUUUUUUCUGUUUCAUAGUCUCUCACAUGUGUUUUAUAUCUUCAUUUCUUUAUAUCCUGCUGUGUUUUUACACCAACAUAAAAUGUUUUUCCUUUUUUUACUUCAAGUUAACUGUUAUUUUUAUGUAAAACAAAAACAGGAGCAUGCAAAGAGCCUGCGCGAGAGUCUAACUUACUACAUGGUCGCUCACCCUUGCAAUGAAAACCUGAUGCCAGAAACCAAACAAAUCUUAAGAAAAUAUGGUAAGUUCCAUUCGACUACUCGACUCCAGGGUAUUCUCCAUGGGGUCCUGUUGCACAACAAUGUUAACUACAUCUGGCUGGAAACAGGUCAGAUUCUUAAGAACACCUCACAAAAUCAGCACUGGAAUCCUUGCCCUUUUUCUCAGUUUCAUUUUUUUAGGGAAGCCACAUGACCAAAUACCGAAAUAUAUCAUAUAUAGACCAUAAUCUUUUUUCAGAAUAGCUAAGCUAAUUUUCUAAUAUAAAAAGGUCGCAUUUUAUACUGGGAGUUGAAACCAUGCCUGUACCCUCAUUUUCCUUUUUCCAUUGAAACUUUCUUGACGCCAUCCUGUCUUAGCGUAACGCGACACCACUGCCACCCUAUCUUAGCGUAACGCGACACUACUGCCACCCUGUCUUAGCGUAACCCGAGUCGAGGCGG